CGUGAUGACGAGGCACUACGGUGCUGAAGCAACAAAUGCCCUGCUUCCAGGAAAAGCCUCUAAGCAUCAGGUAACAUCAAAUCGUACCCCAAACCGACACAGGUGGUCAGGUAGAGAAUACCAAGGCGCUUGAGAGAACUCGGGUGAAGGAACUAGGCAAAAUGGUGCCGUAACUUCGGGAGAAGGCACGCUGAUAUGUAGGUGAGGUCCCUCGCGGAUGGAGCUGAAAUCAGUCGAAGAUACCAGCUGGCUGCAACUGUUUAUUAAAAACACAGCACUGUGCAAACACGAAAGUGGACGUAUACGGUGUGACGCCUGACCGGUGCCGGAAGGUUAAUUGAUGGGGUUAGCGCAAGCGAAGCUCUUGAUCGAAGCCCCGGUAAACGGCGGCCGUAACAAUAACGGUCCUAAGGUAGCGAAAUUCCUUGUCGGGUAAGUUCCGACCUGCACGAAUGGCGUAAUGAUGGCCAGGCUGUCUCCACCCGAGACUCAGUGAAAUUGAACUCGCUGUGAAGAUGCAGUGUACCCGCGGCAAGACGGAAAGACCCCGUGAACCUUUACUAUAGCUUGACACUGAACAUUGAGCCUUGAUGUGUAGGAUAGGUGGGAGGCUUUGAAGUGUGGACGCCAGUCUGCAUGGAGCCGACCUUGAAAUACCACCCUUUAAUGUUUGAUGUUCUAACGUUGACCCGUAAUCCGGGUUGCGGACAGUGUCUGGUGGGUAGUUUGACUGGGGCGGUCUCCUCCUAAAGAGUAACGGAGGAGCACGAAGGUUGGCUAAUCCUGGUCGGACAUCAGGAGGUUAGUGCAAUGGCAUAAGCCAGCUUGACUGCGAGCGUGACGGCGCGAGCAGGUGCGAAAGCAGGUCAUAGUGAUCCGGUGGUUCUGAAUGGAAGGGCCAUCGCUCAACGGAUAAAAGGUACUCCGGGAUAACAGGCUGAUACCGCCCAAGAGUUCAUAUCGACGGCGGUGUUUGGCACCUCGAUGUCGGCUCAUCACAUCCUGGGGCUGAAGUAGGUCCCAAGGGUAUGGCUGUUCGCCAUUUAAAGUGGUACGCGAGCUGGGUUUAGAACGUUGUGAGACAGUUCGGUCCCUAUCUGCCGUGGGCGCUGGAGAACUGAGGGGGGCUGCUCCUAGUACGAGAGGACCGGAGUGGACGCAUCACUGGUGUUCGGGUUGUCAUGCCAAUGGCACUGCCCGGUAGCUAAAUGCGGAAGAGAUAAGUGCUGAAAGCAUCUAAGCACGAAACUUGCCCCGAGAUGAGUUCUCCCUGACCCUUUAAGGGUCCUGAAGGAACGUUGAAGACGACGACGUUGAUAGGCCGGGUGUGUAAGCGCAGCGAUGCGUUGAGCUAACCGGUACUAAUGAACCGUGAGGCUUAACCU
This 1385-nucleotide ribosomal RNA is filed under the name metagenome. RNAcentral's name for it is "bacterial LSU rRNA". It matches the Rfam family "Bacterial large subunit ribosomal RNA", at positions 1562 to 2925 of the family's 2925-position model. The record is from RNAcentral.